UCACCCUUCAAGCACUUAAGCUUGUGUUGAGCUUAUUUUUGUUCUUUUAAUGAACAGGCUCGAAAUGCAGUGGCGAUGCUGAGUUUGGUGCCCAAGCAUUAUAGGGCUUUGUCACAUGCUUUGGUGGCCCAGACCGGUAAAUAUUCUGCCUGGCUAUAUAAUUAUAUAUAAAUUUUAAUCAC
This 182-nucleotide unclassified non-coding RNA is filed under the name uncultured Onygenales. RNAcentral's name for it is "sequence contains ITS2". Lineage: Eukaryota; Fungi; Ascomycota; Eurotiomycetes; Onygenales. The record is from RNAcentral.